RNAcentral lists this ribosomal RNA (205 nucleotides) under Clostridioides difficile. RNAcentral's name for it is "partial 23S ribosomal RNA". It matches the Rfam family "Bacterial large subunit ribosomal RNA", at positions 2568 to 2772 of the family's 2925-position model. Lineage: Bacteria; Bacillati; Bacillota; Clostridia; Peptostreptococcales; Peptostreptococcaceae. The record is from RNAcentral.
AGGGUUGGGCUGUUCGCCCAUUAAAGUGGUACGCGAGCUGGGUUCAGAACGUCGUGAGACAGUUCGGUCCCUAUCCGUCGCAGGCGUAGGAAAUUUGAGAAGGCCUGUCCUUAGUACGAGAGGACCGGGAUGGACGUACCUCUGGUGUACCAGUUGUUCUGCCAAGGGCAUGGCUGGGUAGCUAUGUACGGAAUGGAUAAGCGCU